This 415-nucleotide ribosomal RNA is filed under the name uncultured crenarchaeote. RNAcentral's name for it is "partial 16S ribosomal RNA". It matches the Rfam family "Archaeal small subunit ribosomal RNA", at positions 330 to 747 of the family's 1478-position model. The record is from RNAcentral. Lineage: Archaea; Thermoproteati; Thermoproteota.
GCGCAGCAGGCGCGAAAACUCCGCAAUGCGCGAAAGCGUGACGGGGUCACCCCGAGUGUCGCCUGCUGAAGGCGACUUUUCUCUGGUCUAAACAGCCGGAGGAAUAAGGGGAGGGCAAGACUGGUGUCAGCCGCCGCGGUAAUACCAGCUCCCCGAGUGGUGAGGACGAUUAUUGGGCCUAAAGCGUCCGUAGCCGGCUUAACAAGUUUCCCGUUAAAUCCGACGAUCCAAUCGCCGGUCUGCGAGAAAUACUGUUAAGCUAGGAGGCGGGAGAGGCCGGCGGUACUUUCGGGGUAGGGGUGAAAUCUUAUAAUCCUGGAAGGACCACCAGUGGCGAAGGCGGCCGGCCAGAACGCGCUCGACGGUGAGGGACGAAAGCUGGGGGAGCGAACCGGAUUAGAUACCCGGGUAGUCC